This 463-nucleotide ribosomal RNA is filed under the name uncultured bacterium. RNAcentral's name for it is "bacterial SSU rRNA". It matches the Rfam family "Bacterial small subunit ribosomal RNA", at positions 917 to 1382 of the family's 1533-position model. The record is from RNAcentral.
GGGCCCGCACAAGCAGUGGAGUAUGUGGUUUAAUUCGAAGCAACGCGAAGAACCUUACCAGGGCUUGACAUACCAUUGACGUAUCUAGAGAUAGGUAUUUCCUUCGGGACAAUGGAUACAGGUGGUGCAUGGUUGUCGUCAGCUCGUGUCGUGAGAUGUUGGGUUAAGUCCCGCAACGAGCGCAACCCCUGUUGCUAGUUGCCAUCAUUAAGUUGGGCACUCUAGCGAGACUGCCGGUGACAAAUCGGAGGAAGGUGGGGACGACGUCAAAUCAUCAUGCCCCUUAUGUCCUGGGCUACACACGUACUACAAUGGCUAUUACAGAGGGAAGCAAUACCGUAAGGUGGAGCAAAUCCCCAAAAAUAGUCCCAGUUCAGAUUGUGGGCUGAAACUCGCCCACAUGAAGUCGGAAUUGCUAGUAAUGGCAGGUCAGCAUACUGCCGUGAAUACGUUCCCGGGCCUU